UGGGGAAUAUUGCACAAUGGGCGCAAGCCUGAUGCAGCCAUGCCGCGUGUAUGAAGAAGGCCUUCGGGUUGUAAAGUGCUUUCAGCGGGGAGGAAGGGAGUAAAGUUAAUACCUUUGCUCAUUGACGUUACCCGCAGAAGAAGCACCGGCUAACUCCGUGCCAGCAGCCGCGGUAAUACGGAGGGUGCAAGCGUUAAUCGGAAUUACUGGGCGUAAAGCGCACGCAGGCGGUUUGUUAAGUCAGAUGUGAAAUCCCCGGGCUCAACCUGGGAACUGCAUCUGAUACUGGCAAGCUUGAGUCUCGUAGAGGGGGGUAGAAUUCCAGGUGUAGCGGUGAAAUGCGUAGAGAUCUGGAGGAAUACCGGUGGCGAAGGCGGCCCCCUGGACGAAGACUGACGCUCAGGUGCGAAAGCGUGGGGAGCAAACAGG
RNAcentral lists this ribosomal RNA (429 nucleotides) under Acidobacteriota bacterium. RNAcentral describes it as "Acidobacteria bacterium partial 16S ribosomal RNA". It matches the Rfam family "Bacterial small subunit ribosomal RNA", at positions 355 to 776 of the family's 1533-position model. RNAcentral also lists the same sequence under 1 other name. The record is from RNAcentral. Lineage: Bacteria; Pseudomonadati; Acidobacteriota.